This 6613-nucleotide long non-coding RNA is filed under the name Populus trichocarpa (black cottonwood). RNAcentral describes it as "long non-coding RNA (PTRI_LNC002416)". The record is from RNAcentral. Lineage: Eukaryota; Viridiplantae; Streptophyta; Magnoliopsida; Malpighiales; Salicaceae.
GUCUGUAUAUUCCAGUGGAAAAAAAAUUGGCUUGCAUUUUCUAUCUGUAAAACCAUCGGGUUUUUUUGUACCGACAUUAAUGAAAUUACUGACAAGAGGAAUUUACCAAUGGACUGUUUCCGUCCGUAAAUCAGUCGGUAAAAUUCAUGCUGACGGAAUGGUAGAGUAAAUACCGAGAAAACAUUUUGUUGGUAAAACUGUUAAAUGCAGCAGUGUUAAGAAGCUUGUCAUCACUUGUGGUUUGCGGAUCUGCUGGUUAUAUUCAUACGUACACUCAUGCUUACAGUGCAACAAUCAGAGACGCCUCCCACGGCUCAUCAUUGAGCUCUGUACAGUUCCAAACUUAGUCGGUGAAAUCACACCUUGAAGAGCUUCAAAGCAUUUCAAGAGCAUAUUGUAUCUUUCAAUUCCAUGCUAAGUAAGAGGUGAUAAUGAGGAAGUAAGAAAGAUAAUUAUGACAAUACAUACAAAUAGAAAAUGAUAUAUAAAUCACAGAAAGUUUAUUUGAAGAAGUAACAAGAAGCUCCUGACUCGAGUUCUAGCAACCUCUCCUCGUCUACGUUUAGCAGAGGGAGAAUAUCGUACAGGACUAAAGGUAACACAACUGGAGGAGGUUAUGCAUACAAGAAAGCUAAGUGAUUAAUCAAUAGGUCUUUAAAACGGAACUGGUUUACCCUUAGGGUAAUCGACAUAAACCCUCCCCUUGUAGCGUUGAGCUGCCUCGUUGCUGUCGAUAACUUCUGUUGCAUAGUAAUAUGUGGGAUGAGCAUAGGGAACCUUCAUAACUGGUGGCCGCCUCUUGGCCCGGCCGAAGUGCUCAUCAAUGGCUGCAAAACCCUCCUGCCCAAUCUUAACAAGACGAUCUGCCUGACGUGCCAUGUUAACUACAAUUAAUCAACACACAAAGACAAGUAGCUGUUUAUAGGUUUUGUUGGUUUUCUUGCUUUGGCUAAUAUGUAGGAGGCCAAGCCAACCUUUAUAGAGAAAGGAAAGGUUUGGUUGACAACAGCUGUGGAAUGAAUAAUGGUAGACAGUACUCCUUUUUGUAAAUAAAAGCACCCAACAUUUGUGUACGAUAAAACUAACCAUUGCUGAGAGAAAAAUCAAUAGCUUUUCUUCAUCUUAUCACUACUGACGAUAAAAGCAUCACAAAAUGAAAAAAAAAAUAUAUCAUCAAAAGUUUAUUAAUAUCAUAUUUAAACACAAAAAAGUAAAACAUGUUAGAUUUGGAUGUUUUCAAUACUUAAUAAACUUUUUAUAUAAAACAAUUUUACUGGUUUUUUUGUCGUCCGAUCACCAUCGAUGACAAAACCAUCACCAAGAGUUUAUUAUUAUCGACUUUGGAUUGGAAUUGAAUGUUCUAAAUACUUAGUAAACUGAAAAAUAAGGGAUGCAAACACUGCUCAUUAACAACUGUUGUCAGCCAAUCAUUAGAGCCACUUUUAUGAAUUUGUGUUGGGCAUAAAUUAUAAUAUCUGAUCAUGUGAUUAAAGAAAACAAAAGCUUCCCUGCUUUUGGACUAAUGCUUUUUCUACCGGUCAGGAAUCAAGUCAGGUCCAAAAGCAGUAGCAGCAAAAACACUAAACCUUCGCAAAAGCCAAUUAUGAAAGAAGAUUCCUUCUGUUCUCUAAUCAGAAUAAUCUCAGUUUAAUUAUGUGACGAUAUUGCAGUUUCUAAUUAAUGGCAAUAAGCCCAAUCAGGAUAUUAUCUGACCUUGGUCUCGGCAUUGGAUAACCUGCACUUAACAUUUUUUUUGCUUCUUAAUCCCAGAGCCCUUUUUAACAGUUAUAUUAGGGGUUCGCUAGUAUUAUCUGACCUUGAUCUCGGCAUUGGAUAACCUCAAGCAAUGUUUGUUCUUCAUAUGUAAACAAAAGGGAAACUUAUCGAAUCCAAUUACAGGUGGAAAAAAAUUAAAAGGCAAUUUGUAGUAAAAACUCAAUGAUCUCUGAGCCAAGCCCCCGCAAGCUAUUCCAAGCUUAUUUUACAGAAUAUUAACUCACAAAAGAAUAGAAUUAUGUUCUUAAUUAGCACAUAUGGCAAACAAAUGGCCUUCAGUACAUUUGAAGUGGCUCGAAGGUUCUCUCUAGUGCGAAGGUCAAUUUUUGUAAAAUUGAUUCCUUCCAACUUGUUUCCUAGAAUCGAUGAGACUUAAAUUUGUUUGUGAAUCUAAUUCCUUAUAACUAAACUUUUCGUUUCCAAUUUAUUUUCAUAAUCUGUUUUUUUUUUUUUUUGCUUUAACUGAUCUUGAUUCUCUCCGAAACUUGAUAUCUUUAUUUCUUACUCUAGUUAACUUCAUGACAUAAUCAAUGUGACGCAACCUGACCACCUCAUCCUAACAAAAUUAAAAUCUAUUUACAUCUCAAAUCCGAAUAAACAAGUUGCUUGCAUUAAACCCCAAUAUUGAAGGAAUAAUAGAGAAUGGAAUUUUGGUCAAAAAGUUGCCUCAGAUUCUAUUCUUUGACAUAGACUAGGUAGCUAGAACUAGAUGUUGUUGUUGAUAAUUGCAGGGUUGUCAUGUGGUGGUUUGUUUUUAGGUGUUGAAGGUUGCUUUCUAAGCAGCCUAUGGUUGGUUCUAGCCAAUGGUAAAGACUGGUCUAGUUCUCCACCAUAUCAUUCAUUCUUUUCCAUUUUUUUGGCAAAUCAAACUAGGACUAAGAAGGGGAUGAUGUUUCAAGAUUCGUAGGAUUGGAAUGUCAAGUUAACCAAGCUAAAGAAAAAGACUAAGGUUCUAGUUAAAGAGGGGUAUCUAAAUUGAGGUUUUAGGUUAACCGAGUUGAAGGCAAUAUUUUGGUUCUUGUUAAAUGGGAUCGUAGGAUUGGGAUCUCAAGUUGACCGAGCUAAAGAAAAAGACUAAGGUUCAAGUUAAAGAGGGGUCUCUAAAUUGAGAUUUUAGGUUAACCGAGUUGAAGGCAACAUUUUGGUUUUGGUUAAAGGGAAUCGCUUGAUUAAAGGGAGUCACUAGAUUGAGAUUCUAGGUUAACCAAACUGAAAGAAACAUUUUGGUUCUAGUUAAAUAGGAUUGUCGGAUUGGGAUCUCAGGUUGAAUGAGCUAAAGACAAAGACCAAGGUUUUAGUUAAAGGGGGUCUCUAUAUUGAGAUUUUAGGUUAACCAAGCUUAAGGCAACAUUUGGGUUCUGGUUAAAACGAAUCAUCAGAUUGGGAUUUCAGGUUUGUCGAGCUGAAGACAAAGACCAAGGUUCUGGUUAAAGGGGGUCUCUAGAUUGAGAUUUCAGGUUAACCAAGCUGAAGGUGACAUUUUCGUUCUAAUUAAAGGGAAUAGCUAGAUUAGGAUCUCAAGUUGACUGAGCUAAAAACAAAGAUCAAGGUUCUGAUUAAAGGGGAUCUGUAGAUUGAGAUUUCAGGUUAACCAAGCUUAAGGUGACAUUUUGGUUUUGGUUAAAUGAAAUCACUAGAUUGGGAUCUCAGGUUGACCGAGCUAAGGAUAAAGACCAAGGUUUUGGUUAAAGGGGGUCUCUAGAUUGAGAUUUCAGAUUAACUAAGCUAAAGGCGACAUUUUGGUUCUUAUUAAAGAGAAUCGUCGUAUUGGGAUUUUAGGUUGACCAACUUAACGACAAAGACCAAGGUUCUGGUUAAAGUGAAUCGCCAGAUUGGAAUUUUAGGUUACCGAGCUACUUUUCAUAUUUUAGUUCUAGUUAAAGCGGAUCGCAAAAUUGGGAUCUCAGGUUGACCGAACUUUUGGCAUUGAUUUUGGUUUUGGAUUAAGAAAAUCACUAGAUUGCGAUUUCAAGAUAACCAAGUUGUACACAGUUUGAUUGUAGUUUCCGUUGAUGGGGAUUGCUAUGAAAACAAAGUUUCAGGUCAACCAAACUAAAAGCUUUGAGAAAAACAGUCAAGCACUUAACAAGUCUUUGUUCCAUAAGUAUUAUGAAGAAGGAGCAACUAUUGCCAUAAGAGUGGUAAGUUGUAAACCGUGAGUAUAAUCGGCCAACAAGAAUAAGGAUCAACAAAUGACCUGAAUGGGUUGAAUCCAUCUGUACAUAACCCAAGAUGCACGUUCCUUGAUUCAGCUGAAAAAUAAGAAUGCACACUGUUAAAGUGUUUCCAUGCUUCACCGUCAGAAGGAUGCACCAUCACUCCAUCCACCGCAUCAAGUGAUUGGUGCUAUAUCAUGUGCUCAGUAGUCUUUGGUGAUAUGAAUAACCUCUACAGUCUAGGUGUGAUUGGGAAGUAUCUAAGUUUUUUAUAUGCCAUAAGAGUCUUUCUCAUGCCAGUUCUGGGUUUGUAACGGGAAUGCUCUCAUGUCAUGCACACGGUUAGCUCAGCAUUUUCAAGGUAGUACAUCAUGCAAAAGUUUGGACACAUGUCAAUUUUCUAGUAUUCUAAACCGAGGGGUUUAAUCAUGGACUUAGUAGCAUAGAAGUUCUCUUUCAGCCUCUUCCCUUCAAGUAGAAUGCUUCUCGCCCAUUCAAUAAUUUUAUCGGCAAUUCUGUUGGUUGAAUUUCAGGUAGUGAUGCCUCAGAUUCCUCAGGACUUUCCAUGCAUGAUAGACCAUUUUCUUUCAGGGAUACCCUAAAGAGGACUUAAAGAUUUCAGUUGUAUAUGUGUGAUAACAGAGCAGAAAAAGAAAACUCUCUCGGAUAGGACCCAAUUUGUGGCAGUUUCAUGUCAUCAAAAGUUCACCGAAAGGCGAUGCUUGCAAUCGUUAUGUUUCAGAAGCAAUAAUAUUCUUGUUUAUCCUUCUAGGCUAAGAUGAAAUAUGGAGGAAGUUAAAGCACAUCUCAUGUUUUUGAUGGGUCCCAUUUAUAAUGAAGGAUUGGGAAAGAUCAAGAAAAGGUAUAACUCGGAGCAUUUCCCAUUUUUCCCUUUUUUCUGUAAAAGAUAUGUGUAAAGCAAUGCUUCAGAGGGAGGCUUACUAAUAUCAUUUUCAUGGGAGAUAAGAUAUUUUUACUAGAUACACUUGCUCACAUGGCUCGGAUUGGGAAUCAUGUUUUUCCUUAAAUCUUCAUCGACUAUCAGCUUAGUUAAAGAGAUGUGAAGGAAAUUUUGGUUGUAGAACUCAGAAAUGAUCCAAUCAUGGUCAUGAUCGCUGAUAUUCUUAGAUAUCAUGUAAAUUUCUACUGUUUUUUUUUCUAAGCUAUUGUUUUACCUUGAACUCCGUUUAUUAUUUCUUUAUCGGAGACGCUUCCCAUGGCUCAUCAUUUUAUCCUUGUGCUCGGGACAAUUCUAAAAUGAGGUGAUAAUUCUAAACUCGAAAUUAUUCAGUGAAAUCACACCUUGAAGAGCUUCAAAGCAUUUGAACAGCAAAUUAAUUAUUUGUUUGCCCUAAACGGACUACUAACAGAUAUGUUCAUGUACUAGUGAAAGAUGUUUAGGCCAAGAGAAAGCAUGAUCACGCAAGACCAGAAUAAUAGCCUAAAAUAAUGAUAACAGGAGAUAUUCUAACCGUUAAAUCAGGCUCAAAUUUUUAUAGAAGAUUCUACAAACUGUUUUCCCAUUAAAAACCACUCAAUAGUUAUCAGAGCAUUGUAUCUCCAUAAAGUAGGCUAAUUAGUUAUUAUUUGGGAUAAUUUUGUUAUUUUUCCUUAAUAUUCACAGAUUUAUUGUUUAUUUUUAAAUUUUAUGUUAUUUUCCGUUAUGUUUUGGGAUUCUGAUUUUGUUUCGAAUCUUGGCCGAUUUUUCUAGUCUAUGAAAGAGAUUGUAAACCUCUUUAGAAGGUAAACUUAAUCAAAUUAAUAUUUUAGAAAUAAGGUUUUAGGAUUCUCAGUGUUUUAACAUUAUUUCAGUUUAUCUUUUGUCUUUCUAUGCUUGCAGCUAUAUUGUUGUGCUUCCGCUUGCAUUAAACUUUCAAAACCACUAAGUCAGUUAUCGAAGCAUUGGAUCUCCUAUAAAAGGGAUUGUAAAUUAACCUCUUUAGGAGGUAGACUUGAUCUUAGGAUUCUUCGUGUUUUCACCUUAUUUCAGUCCAUCUUUUUAUUUCCAUGCUUGCAGCUAUAUUGUUGUGCUUCCGACUGCAUUAAUCUUUCAAUAUUUCAUGCUAAGUAAUAGGUGAAUAAGGUAAUAAUCAGGGAAGCAGAGUGAUAUUUAUGACAAUGCAUACUUGACCAGCCAAAUAGAAAAUUAUGAUAUAUAAAUCACAGAAAUUUUAUUUGAUGAAGGAAGAAGAAGCUCCUGACUCGAGUUCUAGCAACCUCUCCUCGUCUACGUUUAGCAGAGGGAGAAUAUCGUACAGGACUAAAGGUAACACAACUAGAGGAGGUUAUGCAUACAAGAAAGCUAAGUGAUUAAUCACUAGGUCUUUAAAACGGAACUGGUUUCCCCUUGGGAUAAUCGAGAUAAACCCUCCCCUUGUAGCGUUGAGCUGCCUCGAUGCUGUCGAUAACUUCUGUUGCAGGAAUUUGGUUUGCAUAGUAAUAUGUCGGAUGAGCAUUGGGAACCUUCAGCACUGGUGGCCGCCUCUUGGCCCGGCCGAAGUGCUCAUCUAUGGCUGCAAAGCCCUCCAGCCCAAUCUUAGCAAGACGGUCUGCCUGACGUGUCAUGUUAACUACAAUUUGUCAGUCAAUACACAAGACAAGUAGCUGUAUAUAGUUCGAGCUGGUUUGCUUGCUUGGCUAAUAUGUGUGAGGCCAAGCCAACCUUUAUAUAGAUCGGGAAG